Molecule: ribosomal RNA, 433 nt
Filed under: uncultured bacterium
Lineage: Bacteria
Description: partial 16S ribosomal RNA
Rfam family: Bacterial small subunit ribosomal RNA
Source: RNAcentral
AACGAACGCUGGCGGCAGGCCUAACACAUGCAAGUCGAGCGAGGACUUCGGUUCUAGCGGCGGACGGGUGAGUAACGCGUGGGAAUGUGCCCUUCUCUACGGAAUAGCCCUGGGAAACUGGGAGUAAUACCGUAUACGCCCUAUUGGGGAAAGAUUUAUCGGAGGAGGAUCAGCCCGCGUUGGAUUAGGUAGUUGGUGGGGUAAUGGCCUACCAAGCCGACGAUCCAUAGCUGGUUUGAGAGGAUGAUCAGCCACACUGGGACUGAGACACGGCCCAGACUCCUACGGGAGGCAGCAGUGGGGAAUCUUAGACAAUGGGGGCAACCCUGAUCUAGCCAUGCCGCGUAAGUGAUGAAGGCCUUAGGGUUGUAAAGCUCUUUCAGCUGGGAAGAUAAUGACGGUACCAGCAGAAGAAGCCCCGGCUAACUCCGUG